This is a long non-coding RNA of Dreissena polymorpha, 768 nucleotides long. RefSeq lists it as uncharacterized. The record is from RefSeq and is a predicted model, not a curated record. The transcript is spliced from 4 exons. NCBI's taxonomy places the organism in Eukaryota, Metazoa, Mollusca, Bivalvia, Myida, Dreissenidae.
GGAAAAACAAAAAAAUAUUAUUUGAAAGUUGAAUAGCUUGAUAUAUAUAUGUUCAUGCCAAUUACCGGGCACAACGGGCCAAUGAACGUGGAUCACCGGCGAUAGUGACGUCAAUUAAACGCGGCGGAAACGGAAGGAGUCGUCUUCUUAAUAUAAGCAAGCAGACGGGAAAGGCGUAGUCAGGGUGUUGAACAUCGGACUGUUAAGUUGGUACUUGUUGCACGGGAAGAUCACAACUUAAGCUAGCAAUGGGAAACAUAGACUCUGGAUUUAGCAGUCAUGGUGGUAGUGCCAUGGGAUAUGGAGGAUAUGGGGGUGUCGGGGGUGCCGGGGGUGGCAACGGGAUUUUCGACAUCCUCAUUUUCCUGUUCGUGUUCAUCGUAAUUAUCCGCGUGCUCGGCUUUGGAGGCGCCGCUGGCGGUGGCAUUGGUGGUGGCGGCGGCGGUGGCGGCGGCGGCAGCAGAUAUAAUAACGACAACUACAAGAAAUAGCCUUGAAACAUCCUUCACUCGAAUCAUUGCGAUCGUUCUUUGCCAAGUCACACACAUCCUCCUAAAUUAUACGUGUGUUCAAUAUGCCGCAAUGUUUCUGAUGCGAUGUGAUACGGGCAAAUGGAAUAAAUUAUACUGCAAUCAAACACGUGUGUCUAAGUGUUUAUUUUCAAAGUAAUUACCAGUCAGGAACUCACUCGUAAAUGAUACAUGCUUUCAAAUGCUGCAAUAUUUCUUAUGUGAAAUUAAAUACAUAUAGGUCUAUCCUGCAAAGAUA